UAGAUUGAAGCCAGUUGUUUAGGGUAUUUAGCUGUUAACUAAAUUUUUAUGGGAUAAAAGCCCAUCGGUCUAG
This 73-nucleotide transfer RNA is filed under the name Anomalurus derbianus. Its description in RNAcentral is "tRNA-Asn". Lineage: Eukaryota; Metazoa; Chordata; Mammalia; Rodentia; Anomaluridae. The record is from RNAcentral.